UGAACGCUGGCGGCGUGCCUAACACAUGCAAGUCGAGCGAUUACUUCGGUAAAGAGCGGCGGACGGGUGAGUAACGCGUGGGUAACCUGCCUCAUACACAUGGAUAACAUACCGAAAGGUAUGCUAAUACAGGAUAAUAUAAGAGAUUCACAUGGAUUUCUUAUCAAAGCUCCGGCGGUAUGAGAUGGACCCGCGUCUGAUUAGCUAGUUGGUAAGGUAAUGGCUUACCAAGGCGACGAUCAGUAGCCGACCUGAGAGGGUGAUCGGCCACAUUGGAACUGAGACACGGUCCAAACUCCUACGGGAGGCAGCAGUGGGGAAUAUUGCACAAUGGGCGAAAGCCUGAAUGCAGCAACGCCGCGUGAGUGAUGAAGGCCUUCGGGUCGUAAAACUCUGUCCUCAAGGAAGAUAAUGACGGUACUUGGGGAGGAAGCCCCGGCUAACUACGUGCCAGCCGCCGC
This 461-nucleotide ribosomal RNA is filed under the name uncultured bacterium. RNAcentral's name for it is "bacterial SSU rRNA". It matches the Rfam family "Bacterial small subunit ribosomal RNA", at positions 30 to 518 of the family's 1533-position model. The record is from RNAcentral.